Molecule: long non-coding RNA, 231 nt
Filed under: Elaeis guineensis (African oil palm)
Lineage: Eukaryota; Viridiplantae; Streptophyta; Magnoliopsida; Arecales; Arecaceae
Description: long non-coding RNA (EGUI_LNC079073)
Source: RNAcentral
AGGGGAUACCCGUAGAGGCUGGACACGUGUGCGGCUCCAUCUUCUACGAAUCCGAGAUCAUCUAAAAUGGUAAAUUUCUACUCACACAAAGGCAAUAAGAUAUAAUCUCAUAUUUUUCUUAAAUUUCAGAUUAAUUAUAUGUGCUUUCUUCUGGACUUGGAUAGGUUUAGAUCUGGUUUCUUGCAUGUGGGGUUAAAGGGUUUAAUCCGAUUUAUUUUUCACUGUAUAUUU